AAAUUGAAGAGUUUGAUCAUGGCUCAGAUUGAACGCUGGCGGCAGGCCUAACACAUGCAAGUCGAACGGUAACAGGAAGCAGCUUGCUGCUUUGCUGACGAGUGGCGGACGGGUGAGUAAUGUCUGGGAAACUGCCCGAUGGAGGGGGAUAACUACUGGAAACGGUAGCUAAUACCGCAUAACGUCGCAAGACCAAAGAGGGGGACCUUCGGGCCUCUUGCCAUCGGAUGUGCCCAGAUGGGAUUAGCUAGUAGGUGGGGUAACGGCUCACCUAGGCGACGAUCCCUAGCUGGUCUGAGAGGAUGACCAGCCACACUGGAACUGAGACACGGUCCAGACUC
RNAcentral lists this ribosomal RNA (341 nucleotides) under Escherichia coli. RNAcentral's name for it is "bacterial SSU rRNA". It matches the Rfam family "Bacterial small subunit ribosomal RNA", at positions 1 to 338 of the family's 1533-position model. Lineage: Bacteria; Pseudomonadati; Pseudomonadota; Gammaproteobacteria; Enterobacterales; Enterobacteriaceae. The record is from RNAcentral.